GAGCAUCUCCAGAAGCCUCUCUAUUCUUCCAUAUUUGUUACUAUAGCUAGCUUGUAAGGGUAAACGAUGGCUCCAGCAGACUCGCCCAAGCAUCGCCAAGAUGAUUGUGAGCUACAGUACCUCGCCAGGACAAGCGAGGACCAAAAUCUCGUAACGGUAUGGCUGAGGAUAUUCCAAAAGCAAAAAUAAAGUCUGUGGCCAAAUCAUCCAAAAUAAGGAGUUCAACUCUAAUGCAACCUACAGCAAGUCACUUGGCAAAGCUAAGCCAAGGAAGAGAAGUUCAUUCCAUCCGAUUCUUGGAAAGGUCACAAAAGCCAUUAACUAAAUCAGAUGAGAGAAGUUUGAGGAAUCCUCUUGGGGUAGACAGAGAUGCUACCAAAAGGCAAAAACUAGAGAAUGGUUAAUUGUGUAAGGUAAAUUUGAUGUAUUUACCCAUAUUUUGGUGGACUUGAGUCUUGAUGUAUGCAUUAUGAAUGUAGAAUCUGUAUGAAAACCAAUAUCUUUUUGUCAAUGUAUUCAUGUGUUAAUAAUUAAAUACAUCACACACAUGUUAUACCAAUUACCUUGGUAUUAAUCUGGUUUGGAAAUUGUGUGUGCAUCAUUUACUUUCUAGAAGCCAGACUGAACUUGAAAGCUGAAGCCUGAAACUAUUUUGACAAGUUUUAAGUGAAUUUUAAGGUUUACUUCUAAUGACUUUCCAUUUAGAGUAGAAUAACAUAUGGAAAUGGGAAGAAGAUAAGAGUGGAAAUAUAAUUAAAGUGAAAACCAUAUAAUUAAAGUGAAAACCAUAGAAUUAAAAUGAUAACCAUAUAAUUAAAAGACAUAUAGAAUUAUAAAAUUACACAUAAAUUAAAAGCAUAUACUGAUUACAUUCAAAACUAAUAGCAUACUACAUAAAAUGAAACUUCAAAUUCAAAACUUUUACAACUCGCUGUGUAAUUGCCACAAGUGUUCGACAAGGUCCGAUUGGAGAUGAGAAUGUGUUUGCCUAUCUCUAAUGUUAUGAUGGCAUUGAAUGAAUUCCAUAAGUUCAGUAGUUCUCUCCUGUGACACUGUUGCAUGGGGACUGUCAUUGAUUUGAUCAUAAUUGAAGUCUUUUACUCCAUUGUCAUCCUGCUCAUCCUCAAUGAUCAUAUUAUGUAGAAUUAUGCACGCCUUCAUAAUAUAUUUAAGCAUUUUAGUAUUCCAAAAACGUGCUGGUCGACGCACAAUUGCAAAUCGUGCUUGAAGCACUCC
This is a non-coding RNA of Camellia sinensis, 1236 nucleotides long. Lineage: Eukaryota; Viridiplantae; Streptophyta; Magnoliopsida; Ericales; Theaceae. The record is from RefSeq and is a predicted model, not a curated record.